UUACCCUCCAGCUCGGUGAACCUGAGGGCGGCGCUGUUGAGCGCCCUCACCCUCUCGCUCUGCGCCGCGAUGUCGGCCUCCAGCAGGGCGUGCUUCUGCAGGAGGUCCUCCACCUCCAGGAGGUGCUUCCCCAGCUCCCUCGACAGCAGCGGGGCCUGGGGGGGGUGGGGGUGGGGGGUGAGGAGGGAAAGGUGGGGUCCCAUGGGGGGGACACCCCACGUCUCCGAUGGGGGGACAACCUUUGUCCCCCUCGGCAAAAAAGAAUAUGGGAUCUGGAGGUGGCAUCCCAUGGGGGACGGCCGCAUGACCAACUUGGGGACAACACGCGUCUCCCAUUGGGGACCCCCCCAGCAACCCCAUUGGGACACCCCAUAUUCCACUGGGACACCCCACAUCCCAUUGGGGCACCCCACAUCCCAUUGGGAUCCCCAUCUCCCAUUGGGGCAGCCCACAUCCCAUUGGGGACACCCACAUCCCAUUAGGGCACCCCACAUCCCAUUGGGGACACCCAUCUCCCAUUGGGAUCCCCAUCUCACAUUGGGACACCCCACAUCCCAUUGGGAUCCCCAUCUCACAUUGGGACACCCCAUAUCCACUGGGGACACCCCACAUCCCAUUGGGGCACCCCACAUCCCAUUGGGAUCCCCAUCUCACAUUGGGACACCCCAUAUCCCACUGGGGACACCCAUCACCCAUUGGGACACCCCAUAUCCCAUUGGGACACCCCACAUCCCAUUGGGAUCCCCAUCUCACAUUGGGACACCCCAUAUCCACUGGGGACACCCAUCUCCUAUUGGGACACCCCACAUCCCAUUGGGGACACCCAUCUCACAUUGGGAUACCCCACAUCCCAUUGGGGACAACCAACAUCCCACUAGGGACCCCCCAAAUCCUAUUGGGAUCCCCAUCUCACAUUGGGACAACCCAUAUCCACUGGGGACACCCCAUAUCCCACUGGGGACACCCAUCUCCUAUUGGGAUACCCCAUAUCCCAUUGGGACACCCCACAUCCAUUGGGGACACCCAUCUCACAUUGGGACACCCCAUAUCCCACUGGAGACACCCAUCUCCCAUUGGGAUACCCCAUAUCCCAUUGGGACACCCAACAUCCCAAUGGGACACCC
RNAcentral lists this long non-coding RNA (1124 nucleotides) under Phasianus colchicus (ring-necked pheasant). Its description in RNAcentral is "lncRNA (ENSPCLG00000017244.1)". The record is from RNAcentral. Lineage: Eukaryota; Metazoa; Chordata; Aves; Galliformes; Phasianidae.